GGUCGAGGCUAUACCUGCCGCUGCCACCUGGGUCGCUCAGGGGCGAGAUGUGAGGAAGGUGUGACGGUAACCACCCCAUCCAUGUCUGGUGCUGGCUCCUACCUGGCACUACCAGCCCUCACCAACACACACCA
Long non-coding RNA from Nannospalax galili (Upper Galilee mountains blind mole rat), 134 nucleotides. RefSeq lists it as uncharacterized. Lineage: Eukaryota; Metazoa; Chordata; Mammalia; Rodentia; Spalacidae. The record is from RefSeq and is a predicted model, not a curated record. The transcript is spliced from 2 exons.